ACAACCUCCAGCUGUUUCCAGCCAGAGUCCUUGUUCAAUCCUCUGAAGCAGCCAAGUGGACUCAGCCCAGCCAGAGUCCAGACUGCCCGCUGAAGGCUGUGAGAAAAUGUGAGGUCAGAGGUCAUCCUGCAGACUCCGUGGAUGGGGACAAACUGGACCAGAGCCUAGGCUUGGAACCAAACGGAACUGUAAGUUGCGGUGAGCUGGGGACUAUUCUGCAGUCGCAGCACGCAGGCUUAUCACUGUGGUGGCUUCUCUCAUUGCGGACCACGGGCUCCAGAAUCCCAUGGACAGAGAGCCUGGCGGGCUAUAGUCCAUGGUGUCGCAAAGAGUUGGACACGACUGAAGCGACUUGGCAUGCACACAAGCGCUAUUACAGCCAUCUCACAAGAAAAGAAUGAACGAAUAUUUUAGCCACCAUAGGACACAGAUGCAGAGAAGGCCCUGUGAGGACACAGCAAGAAGGCAAAUGUCUACCUGCCUAGGAAGAAACAGACCUUGCUGACACCGCAAAUUGGAGCUUCCAGCCUCCAAAAUUAUGAGACAAUGAACACCUUUUGCUUAAGCCAUCCAGUCUGCAGUGGUUAGUUAGAGUGGCCCUAGCAAGCUAAUAUUUUGCUUUUCUCACACAG
Molecule: long non-coding RNA, 632 nt
Organism: Bos taurus (domestic cattle)
Lineage: Eukaryota; Metazoa; Chordata; Mammalia; Artiodactyla; Bovidae
Source: Ensembl